Molecule: ribosomal RNA, 505 nt
Filed under: uncultured bacterium
Lineage: Bacteria
Description: partial 16S ribosomal RNA
Rfam family: Bacterial small subunit ribosomal RNA
Source: RNAcentral
GACGAACGCUGGCGGCGUGCCUAAUACAUGCAAGUAGAACGCACAGUUUAUACCGUAGCUUGCUACACCAUAGACUGUGAGUUGCGAACGGGUGAGUAACGCGUAGGUAACCUGCCUGGUAGCGGGGGAUAACUAUUGGAAACGAUAGCUAAUACCGCAUAAUAUUAAUUAUUGCAUGAUAAUUAAUUGAAAGGUGCAAUUGCACCACUACCAGAUGGACCUGCGUUGUAUUAGCUAGUAGGUGAGGUAACGGCUCACCUAGGCGACGAUACAUAGCCGACCUGAGAGGGUGAUCGGCCACACUGGGACUGAGACACGGCCCAGACUCCUACGGGAGGCAGCAGUAGGGAAUCUUCGGCAAUGGACGAAAGUCUGACCGAGCAACGCCGCGUGAGUGAAGAAGGUUUUCGGAUCGUAAAGCUCUGUUGUAAGAGAAGAACGGGGGUGAGAGUGGAAAGUUCACACUGUGACGGUAUCUUACCAGAAAGGGACGGCUAACUACGUG